Molecule: ribosomal RNA, 743 nt
Filed under: Phyllachora sp.
Lineage: Eukaryota; Fungi; Ascomycota; Sordariomycetes; Phyllachorales; Phyllachoraceae
Description: eukaryotic LSU rRNA
Rfam family: Eukaryotic large subunit ribosomal RNA (bases 156-743)
Source: RNAcentral
CAGUUACUUGUGAAUGUAUAAUAUAAUACGAGUGUGUCUUCCUCUUUAUAGCAGCUCUCCUCUAGUACUGGAGAUUUCCGCAUUAUCUUUCUCAGAUAAAACUUUCCCCGCGCCGAUUUUCAAUUUCAGCUUCGCCCCUCCCCGCCGUUAUUAAGCCAAUUCCCUUUUUUUUUUUUUCCCUUUGUGCAUAUUCAAUAAGCUGAGGAAAAGAAACCAACAGGGAUUGCCUUAGUAACGGCGAGUGAAGUGGCAAAAGCUCGAAUUUGAAAUCUGCCGCCCGGCCGAGUUGUAAUUUGCAGAGGAAUCUUUGGGUAAAAUUCGCUCCAAGUCCCCUGGAACGGGGUGCCAUAGAGGGUGAGAGCCCCGUUGGAGAUGUUGUUUAGCCUGCAUGAAGAUCCUUCAACGAGUCGAGUAGUUUGGGAAUGCUGCUCUAAAUGGGAGGUAAAUUCCUUCUAAAGCUCAAUAUUAGCCAGAGACCGAUAGCGCACAAGUAGAGUGAUCGAAAGAUGAAAAGCACUUUGAAAAGAGAGUUAAAAGCACGUGAAAUUGUUGAAAGGGAAGUACUUGUAACCAGACAUGCACUAUGUGGAUUCGCUACUGUUACCAGUGGUGUACUCUGCUUAGAGUAGGCUAACAUGAGUUUUUCAAGGGGGAUAAAAGCAGUAGGAAUGUAACUCGUUGAGUAUUAUAGACUAUUGUAAAAUACCCCUAGGAAAACUGAGGAAAGCGUUUUGCAAGGAUGU